AGAUUGAACGCUAGCGGGAUGCUUUACACAUGCAAGUCGAACGGCAGCGCGGACUUCGGUCUGGCGGCGAGUGGCGAACGGGUGAGUAAUAUAUCGGAACGUGCCCAGUAGCGGGGGAUAACUACGCGAAAGCGUGGCUAAUACCGCAUACGCCCUACGGGGGAAAGGGGGGGAUCGCAAGACCUCUCGCUAUUGGAGCGGCCGAUAUCAGAUUAGCUAGGUUGGUGGGGUAAAGGCCCACCAAGGCGACGAUCUGUAGCUGGUUUGAGAGGACGACCAGCCACACUGGGACUGAGACACGGCCCAGACUCCGUACGGGAGCAGCAGUGGGGAAUUUGGACAAUGGGGGAACCUGAUCCGAGCCAUCCGCGUGUCGGCGAUGAACGGCCGUUCGGGUUGUAAACGCCUACGUUUUCGGACGUAGGGAACGAACGGUACGGUCG
This 443-nucleotide ribosomal RNA is filed under the name uncultured soil bacterium. RNAcentral describes it as "bacterial SSU rRNA". It matches the Rfam family "Bacterial small subunit ribosomal RNA", at positions 26 to 469 of the family's 1533-position model. The record is from RNAcentral.